GGAAUAUUGCACAAUGGGGGGAACCCUGAUGCAGCGACGCCGCGUGAGUGAAGAAGUAUUUCGGUAUGUAAAGCUCUGUCAGCAGGGAAGAAGAAAGACGGUACCUGACCAAGAAGCCCCGGCUAACUACGUGCCAGCAGCCGCGGUAAUACGUAGGGGGCAAGCGUUAUCCGGAUUUACUGGGUGUAAAGGGAGCGUAGACGGCAGGGCAAGUCUGGAGUGAAAGGCAGGGGCCCAACCCCUGGACUGCUCUGGAAACUGUCCGGCUGGAGUGCAGGAGAGGUAAGUGGAAUUCCUAGUGUAGCGGUGAAAUGCGUAGAUAUUAGGAGGAACACCAGUGGCGAAGGCGGCUUACUGGACUGUAACUGACGUUGAGGCUCGAAAGCGUGGGGAGCAAACA
This 400-nucleotide ribosomal RNA is filed under the name uncultured bacterium. RNAcentral's name for it is "bacterial SSU rRNA". It matches the Rfam family "Bacterial small subunit ribosomal RNA", at positions 358 to 774 of the family's 1533-position model. The record is from RNAcentral.